Long non-coding RNA from Dermochelys coriacea (leatherback sea turtle), 171 nucleotides. RefSeq lists it as uncharacterized. The record is from RefSeq and is a predicted model, not a curated record. Lineage: Eukaryota; Metazoa; Chordata; Testudines; Dermochelyidae. The transcript has 3 exons.
GUCCUUGGCUUGUGGGGGUGUUGCUAAAUUUUUUGUUUUUUUUUGUUUUUCCACUGCUGAGCACUGUGGCCCCAAUCCAGCAAAGCACUUAAGCAAGCAAAUAAUUUUAACCAUGUAAAUAAUCACAUUGCUUUUCUGAAUUAAGACCAGAGCGCUCAGCACUUGCUGAAU